AUGCACGCUGGCGGCGUGCCUAAUACAUGCAAGUCGCGCGAACGGACGAGAAGCUUGCUUUUCUGAUGUUAGCGGCGGACGGGUGAGUAACACGUGGAUAACCUACCUAUAAGACUGGGAUAACUUCGGGAAACCGGAGCUAAUACCGGAUAAUAUUUUGAACCGCAUGGUUCAAAAGUGAAAGACGGUCUUGCUGUCACUUAUAGAUGGAUCCGCGCUGCAUUAGCUAGUUGGUAAGGUAACGGCUUACCAAGGCAACGAUGCAUAGCCGACCUGAGAGGGUGAUCGGCCACACUGGAACUGAGACACGGUCCAGACUCCUACGGGAGGCAGCAGUAGGGAAUCUUCCGCAAUGGGCGAAAGCCUGACGGAGCAACGCCGCGUGAGUGAUGAAGGUCUUCGGAUCGUAAAACUCUGUUAUUAGGGAAGAACAUAUGUGUAAGUAACUGUGCACAUCUUGACGGUACCUAAUCAGAAAGCCACGGCUAACUACGUG
This 496-nucleotide ribosomal RNA is filed under the name uncultured bacterium. RNAcentral describes it as "partial 16S ribosomal RNA". It matches the Rfam family "Bacterial small subunit ribosomal RNA", at positions 29 to 507 of the family's 1533-position model. The record is from RNAcentral.